Molecule: transfer RNA, 66 nt
Filed under: Gonista bicolor
Lineage: Eukaryota; Metazoa; Arthropoda; Insecta; Orthoptera; Acrididae
Description: tRNA-Pro
Rfam family: tRNA
About the family: Transfer RNA (tRNA) molecules are approximately 80 nucleotides in length. Their secondary structure includes four short double-helical elements and three loops (D, anti-codon, and T loops).
Source: RNAcentral
CAGGGAUUAGUUUAAUUUAAAAUAUUGGUUUUGGAGACCAGAGAUAGAAGUUAUUUUUAUCCUUGA